RNAcentral lists this ribosomal RNA (429 nucleotides) under Pseudomonadota bacterium. RNAcentral describes it as "Proteobacteria bacterium partial 16S ribosomal RNA". It matches the Rfam family "Bacterial small subunit ribosomal RNA", at positions 355 to 776 of the family's 1533-position model. Lineage: Bacteria; Pseudomonadati; Pseudomonadota. The record is from RNAcentral.
UGGGGAAUAUUGGACAAUGGGCGAAAGCCUGAUCCAGCCAUGCCGCGUGUGUGAAGAAGGUCUUCGGAUUGUAAAGCACUUUAAGUUGGGAGGAAGGGCAGUAAGCGAAUACCUUGCUGUUUUGACGUUACCGACAGAAUAAGCACCGGCUAACUCUGUGCCAGCAGCCGCGGUAAUACAGAGGGUGCAAGCGUUAAUCGGAAUUACUGGGGGUAAAGCGCGCGUAGGUGGUUCGUUAAGUUGAAUGUGAAAGCCCCGGGCUCAACCUGGGAACUGCAUCCAAAACUGGCGAGCUAGAGUAGGGCAGAGGGUGGUGGAAUUUCCUGUGUAGCGGUGAAAUGCGUAGAUAUAGGAAGGAACACCAGUUGCGAAGGCGACCAGCUGGGCUCAUACUGACACUGAGGUGCGAAAGCGUGGGGAGCAAACAGG